AACCCCUCAAGCUCUGCUUGGUGUUGGGCGUUUUGUCUACGGACUCGCCCCAAAUCUAUUGGCAGCAGCCUUACCAGCUUCUUGCGCAGUACAAUGCGCUUUAAGAAGCUUGUGUAGUGGUGUGCAACCCAGUAAGCAACUCUUUA
This 146-nucleotide unclassified non-coding RNA is filed under the name Ascomycota sp. Its description in RNAcentral is "partial internal transcribed spacer 2". The record is from RNAcentral. Lineage: Eukaryota; Fungi; Ascomycota.